RNAcentral lists this ribosomal RNA (497 nucleotides) under uncultured bacterium. RNAcentral's name for it is "partial 16S ribosomal RNA". It matches the Rfam family "Bacterial small subunit ribosomal RNA", at positions 28 to 507 of the family's 1533-position model. The record is from RNAcentral.
GAUGAACGCUGGCGGCGUGCCUAAUACAUGCAAGUCGAGCGAACGGACGCGAAGCUUGCUUCUCUGAUGUUAGCGGCGGACGGGUGAGUAACACGUGGAUACCCUCCCUAUAUGACUGGUAUAACUUCGGGAAACCGGCGCUAAUACCGUAUAAUAUUUUGAACCGCAUGGUUCAAAAGUGAAAGACGGUCUUGCUGUCACUUAUAGAUGGAUCCGCGCUUCAUUAGCUAGUUGGUAAGGUAACGGCUUACCAAGGCAACGAUGCAUAGCCGACCUGAGAGGGUGAACGGCGACACUGGAAGUGAGACACGGUCCAGAGUCCUACGGGAGGCAGCAGUAGGGAAUGGUGGGCAAAGGGGGAAAGCCUGACGGAGCAACGACGCGUGAGUGAUGAAGGUCUGCGGGUCGGAAAACGGUGUUAUGAGGGAAGAACAUUUGUGGAAGUAACGGAGCACAUCGUGACGGUACCUAAUCAGAAAGCCACGGCUAACUACGUG